Molecule: long non-coding RNA, 608 nt
Organism: Gigantopelta aegis
Lineage: Eukaryota; Metazoa; Mollusca; Gastropoda; Neomphalida; Peltospiridae
Exons: 3
Source: RefSeq, a predicted model, not a curated record
AAUAUAAGUCCAUGCCUUUAGAUAAUAUUUCAUUUUGUACUACAAAAGCAUAUUAUCCAAAUGCAUAUUAGUAAAUAUUAGUAAAACAUUUUGCAUGCCAACAAAAUGCGCGAUCACCAAAUAAUUGUGGUAUGCGACUUAUGAACUGUUUUCCAUCAAUAUUUUCGAAUCUUCGUAUACGAAAUAGCGAAAAUUCAGUGCAACGUUGAAGGUAUUUAUGGACUAAAAUGUGCUGGUGUGUCAUUAAACAAUUAAAUAUUCCAUUAAAGACAUUUUAUCCAUCUAACUACUCUCAAAAUGUUUGGAUGGGUGAGUGAAAUUGAAGACACAAUAUGUAAUUGUUAUUUCUACAGCAACCCUAGCACAAGAAACCGGGACAACUCGUGAAACAAGUGCAACACCAAGAACAGGGUGUGUACUGGUUGACGUCAUGAGUAGUGUUUCUCAAGAAAACCAACCUCUUGUCUACAGCGAAGACAAAAAGACCGCAGUAAUAACAGUUGAUGGUGAACUUGACAGUAUUAAAAACAUCCCAAACAAUGUCAAAGUAUACAUCGCUACGACGGCAAUUCCCGCAGGUCAGACUGUGACACUGUGGUUCCCUAAAG